Molecule: ribosomal RNA, 459 nt
Filed under: uncultured bacterium
Lineage: Bacteria
Description: partial 16S ribosomal RNA
Rfam family: Bacterial small subunit ribosomal RNA
Source: RNAcentral
CCUACCGGGAGGCAGCAGUGAGGAAUAUUGGUCAAUGGGCGAGAGCCUGAACCAGCCAAGUCGCGUGAGGGAGUACUGCCCUAUGGGUUGUAAACCUCUUUUGUCGGGGAGCAAAAGCCGGACGUGUCCGGCUGUGAGAGUACCCGAAGAAAAAGCAUCGGCUAACUCCGUGCCCGCAGCCGCGGUAAUACGGAGGAUGCGAGCGUUAUCCGGAUUUAUUGGGUUUAAAGGGUGCGCAGGCGGAUUUUUAAGUCUGCGGUCAAAUCGUGGGGCUCAACCCCAUCCAGCCGUUGAAACUGGGGAUCUAGAGUGUGCGAGAGGUAUGCGGAAUGCGUGGUGUAGCGGUGAAAUGCAGAGAUAUCACGCAGAACCCCGAUUGCGAAGGCAGCAUACCGGUGCACAACUGACGCUCAGGCACGAAAGCGUGGGUAUCGAACAGGAUUAGAUACCCCUGUAGUC